GAACGCUGGCGGCAGGCUUAACACAUGCAAGUCGAGCGGUAGCAGAUCUAGCUUGCUAGAUGCUGACGAGCGGCGACGGGUGAGUAACGCGUAGGAACCUGCCCAGUAGUGGGGGAUAGCCCGGGGAAACUCGGAUUAAUACCGCAUACGCUCUACGGAGGAAAGAGGGCUUCGGCUCUCGCUAUUGGAUGGGCCUGCGUGAGAUUAGCUAGUUGGUGAGGUAAUGGCUCACCAAGGCGACGAUCUCUAGCUGGUCUGAGAGGAUGAUCAGCCACACUGGGACUGAGACACGGCCCAGACUCCUACGGGAGGCAGCAGUGGGGAAUAUUGCACAAUGGGCGCAAGCCUGAUGCAGCCGUGCCGCGUGUGUGAAGAAGGCUUUCGGGUUGUAAAGCACUUUCAGUGGGGAGGAAGGCCUCGUAGUUAAUAGCUGCGAGGAUUGACGUUACCCACAAAAGAAGCACCGGCUAACUCCGUG
Molecule: ribosomal RNA, 478 nt
Filed under: uncultured bacterium
Lineage: Bacteria
Description: bacterial SSU rRNA
Rfam family: Bacterial small subunit ribosomal RNA
Source: RNAcentral